CGGGAAUUUUGGGCAAUGGGCGAAAGCCUGACCCAGCAACGCCGCGUGAAGGAUGAGGUAUUUCGGUAUGUAAACUUCGAAAGAAUGGGAAGAAUAAAUGACGGUACCAUUUAUAAGCUCCGGCUAACUACGUGCCAGCAGCCGCGGUAAUACGUAGGGAGCAAGCGUUGUUCGGAAUUACUGGGCGUAAAGGGCUCGUAGGCGGCCAACUAAGUCACACGUGAAAUCCCCAGGCUUAACCUGGGAACUGCGUGUGAUACUGGAUGGCUUGAAUUCGGGAGAGGGAUGCAGAAUUCCAGGUGUAGCGGUGAAAUGCGUAGAUAUCUGGAGGAAUACCGGUGGCGAAGGCGGCAUCCUGGACCGACAUUGACGCUGAGGAGCGAAAGCUAGGGGAGCAAA
This 399-nucleotide ribosomal RNA is filed under the name uncultured bacterium. RNAcentral's name for it is "bacterial SSU rRNA". It matches the Rfam family "Bacterial small subunit ribosomal RNA", at positions 356 to 772 of the family's 1533-position model. The record is from RNAcentral.